UUUGGUUCAGGUUUUUGUUUGUCUUUCUGUGUUCGCUGAUUGGCACGACGGAUGAAGUAAACGACGAAGAUAUUCAUCCGUUCAAUCAUUCAUAUCGAAUUCAUUCACUACUAAGCCACGACCGUUAUCAAGCACAUCGGUACUAGCGCGUCUACGACACCCCGCCGGCAUUUCCUUACCAGCAAACAGAAGCAGAAGCUUGGGAUCUAUCCCCUUUUCCGCCUUACUGUUGUGAGGAAGUCACCAGGAGUUUUGUGAUUGUCUUCCGUAAGCUUGAUAUUGGCAGAACUGAUAUUCUCGAUGCCUCUUUUGUCUUUGGACGAACAGAAGCGGGAAAUAGUCUAGCUCGUAUGAUCUGCAACAAAUUCAACUCGCCCGUCGGGGUAUACCCGAUAUGAGAGGAAACAAAGAAAAGGAGAAAAGCUUGCAUAUUCAGGCAGCCCCAACAAUGCCCAUGCCAAAUUCAACUGCAUCGUCUUUCACCGUUUUCUUCUCCCUCCAAUCUCAUUCAACCUAUCUAGACUUGAUCUGGCCGCGUUUUUUUUUCAUCAUUUAAAUGGUCCCUGAAGUUCUCCGUCUCCGCUGCGGAAGGGUGAGUUCACCGGUAGCCCCAAACUGUCCUUCGUUCCGCAGAAUGGCAAGGCCUCUGAAUCUAUCGUCAGGAGGGCUGUCACGAAAACGGGCAAGCGGGGGGGCUAUGAAGUAUUGCGUCAGAUGCGGAACUUACCCUACGCGGCGGACAGUGCGGCCAACGACUGUGGUGAUAGGAAGGCGUUUUUGAUAGUUCAAGGUUCAACAGAUUGCGUGUCUAAGCUAUUGAAAGAUAUCUUAUAUCUUCGAUAUCUAAGAUGAGAGAGAGGGUUUCGUACAGUAUACAAAGACUCUGUUCCUCCCUCUCAAUACGCCCCCCCCCUCUCCCGGCUCCUCCUUCCUCAUGGAUGCACGAUCAGGCGUUAUUGAUCAUCAAUUGAAGACUUGGUCAUCAGAUUACGCCGACGUCAAGAUGAUUCUCGUCCUUAGAAAAUGGAAGAGAUAAUAGUUGUUUUGCUGGUACUGCAAUAAACGUAUUGCCCCCGUUGAGGAUCUACUAAAAGAUGCAGUGCAAGAAGAAAUUGGGGUAUGAGAAUAAGGAAUGAAGCAGGCAACUGAUAUUAUUGAUAAGAGGUCCGGGAUACGGUCAAACACUUGAACGGAUGAUUCGGCAAGCUUUUGGUCGUAAAAUGUUAUUUAGCACGUCUGCCGACAUUGCAUCAUGCAUGUAGCAUACGAC
Molecule: small RNA, 1270 nt
Filed under: Cryptococcus neoformans H99
Lineage: Eukaryota; Fungi; Basidiomycota; Tremellomycetes; Tremellales; Cryptococcaceae
Description: Cryptococcus neoformans var. grubii H99 hypothetical RNA
Source: RNAcentral